UACGUAGGGGCUAGCGUUGUCCGGAUUUAUUGGGCGUAAAGAGCGUGUAGGCGGCCAGGUAGGUCUGCUGUGAAACUCGAGGCUCAACCUCGAGACGUCGGCGGAAACCAUCUGGCUAGAGUCCGGAAGAGGAGAGUGGAAUUCCUGGUGUAGCGGUGAAAUGCGCAGAUAUCAGGAAGAACACCCGUGGCGAAGGCGGCUCUCUGGGACGGUACUGACGCUGAGACGCGAAGCGUGGGGAGCGAACAGG
RNAcentral lists this ribosomal RNA (250 nucleotides) under uncultured bacterium. RNAcentral describes it as "partial 16S ribosomal RNA". It matches the Rfam family "Bacterial small subunit ribosomal RNA", at positions 524 to 776 of the family's 1533-position model. The record is from RNAcentral.